This 72-nucleotide transfer RNA is filed under the name Reclinomonas americana ATCC 50633. RNAcentral describes it as "tRNA-Gln". It matches the Rfam family "tRNA". Rfam says of the family: Transfer RNA (tRNA) molecules are approximately 80 nucleotides in length. Their secondary structure includes four short double-helical elements and three loops (D, anti-codon, and T loops). Further hydrogen bonds mediate the characteristic L-shaped molecular structure. tRNAs have two regions of fundamental functional importance: the anti-codon, which is responsible for specific mRNA codon recognition, and the 3' end, to which the tRNAs corresponding amino acid is attached (by aminoacyl-tRNA synthetases). tRNAs cope with the degeneracy of the genetic code in two manners: having more than one tRNA (with a specific anti-codon) for a particular amino acid; and 'wobble' base-pairing, i.e. permitting non-standard base-pairing at the 3rd anti-codon position. Lineage: Eukaryota; Jakobea; Jakobida; Histionidae. The record is from RNAcentral. RNAcentral also lists the same sequence under 2 other names.
UGGAACAUCGCCAAGUGGUAAGGCGCCGGUCUUUGAAUCCGUCAUACGAAGGUUCGAAUCCUUCUGUUCCAA